Molecule: non-coding RNA, 95 nt
Organism: Ataeniobius toweri
Lineage: Eukaryota; Metazoa; Chordata; Actinopteri; Cyprinodontiformes; Goodeidae
Source: the annotation of a GenBank genome assembly
GGCGCUGAUAGUGUAGGGGUUAAGCGUGCGACCAUGUGCAGAGGCUACAGUCCUCGAGGCGGCUGUCCCGGGUUCGAGUCCCGGACCCAGCGGCA